Molecule: ribosomal RNA, 506 nt
Filed under: uncultured bacterium
Lineage: Bacteria
Description: partial 16S ribosomal RNA
Rfam family: Bacterial small subunit ribosomal RNA
Source: RNAcentral
AGUGAACGCUGGCGGUAGGCCUAACACAUGCAAGUCGAACGGCAGCACGGGAGAGCUUGCUCUCUGGGUGGCGAGUGGCGGACGGGUGAGGAAUACAUCGGAAUCUACUCUGUCGUGGGGGAUAACGUAGGGAAACUUACGCUAAUACCGAAUACGACCUACGGGUGAAAGCAGGGGACCUUCGGGCCUUGCUCGAUUGAAUGAGCCGAUGUCGGAUUGGCUAGUUGGCGGGGGAAAGGCCCACCAAGUCGACGGUCCGUAGCUGGUCUGAGAGUGUGAGCAGCAACUCGGGAAAUGGGACACGGUCCAGACUCGUACGGGAGGCAGUAGUGGGGUAUAUUGGACAAUGGGCGGAAGCCUGAUCCAGCCAUUCCGGGUGGGUGAAGAGGGCCUUCGGGUUGUAAAGCCCUUUUGUUGGGAAAGAAAUCCAGCUGGCUAAUACGCGGUUGGGAUGACGGUACCCAAAGAAUAAGCACCGGCUAACUUCGUGCCAGCAGCCGCCGUAA